GUAUUUUAAAGAACUAAACUCUGAGCUGGUUGCUUCAGAAGUCAAAACUCAAAGUGACUUAAAUAAACUAAGGAUGGCGCCAGCAAGACAACACAGUUUAAAAUACGAUCUGAUGAAAUCCAGGAGCAACCCAGACUUCCCAAAGGACCAUGCUACUCUUACGCAGACCGUCAGAUCCAAGAGUCUUAAAGAUGGACUCACAGUUCAGGAGAGGAUGAAGCUUUUUGAAUUAACCAGCACGCAAAAGAUUUGACUCUGUGUGUGUGCGUCUGUGUGAUAGAGAGAGAGAAAGAUAAGCAUUUUAAAGUAUUACGUGGGUUAAAUUAUUUAAUUGUAUAUCUUUAUAACACAAUGAAUUCUAACUAUACCUUUAGUCACUGGUGUGUGUGUGUGUGACCGAGAGAGAGCGAGCCUAUGUCAGUCAUUUUAAUUGUUUGUUAUUGCUUUAGAUGGUAGAAUUAAUUUUUGAUAUGACGUUGUCUCUCUAAAUCUUAAACUGUCUUUGUUUAUAUUUACAUGUUUAUGCCCGAAUGAGCAUCCAUUCAAUUUGCUUCAUCUCUAAUUAUGAAUAAAGUCAAGCUUUUCCAAUC
Long non-coding RNA from Puntigrus tetrazona (Sumatra barb), 590 nucleotides. RefSeq lists it as uncharacterized. The record is from RefSeq and is a predicted model, not a curated record. The transcript is spliced from 3 exons. NCBI's taxonomy places the organism in Eukaryota, Metazoa, Chordata, Actinopteri, Cypriniformes, Cyprinidae.